AUAUCAAUAAGCGGAGGAAAAGAAACUAACGAGGAUUCCCCUAGUAACUGCGAGUGAAGCGGGAAGAGCUCAAAUUUAAAAUCUGGCGGUCUUUGGCCGUCCGAGUUGUAGUCUGGAGAAGCGUCUUCUACGCCGGACCGUGUACAAGUCCCUUGGAACAGGGCGUCAUAGAGGGUGAGAAUCCCGUCCAUGACACGGACCGCCGGCGGUUUGUGAUGCGCUCUCAAAGAGUCGAGUUGUUUGGGAAUGCAGCUCAAAACGGGUGGUAAAUUCCAUCUAAAGCUAAAUACUGGCGAGAGACCGAUAGCGAACAAGUACCGUGAGGGAAAGAUGAAAAGCACUUUGGAAAGAGAGUUAAACAGUACGUGAAAUUGCUGAAAGGGAAACGCUUGAAGUCAGUCGCGUCGGCCGGGGCUCAGCCUUGCAUUCGUUUGCUCGGUUUACUUCCCGGUCGACGGGCCAGCGUCGAUUUCGACCGUCGGAGAACGGUCAGGGGAAAGUGGCACCUUCGGGUGUGUUAUAGCCUUUGGUCGCAUACGACGGUUGGGAUCGAGGGACGCAGCACGCCUUUAUUGGCCGGGGCAUUCGUGCCCACGUAUCGUGCUUAGGAUGCUGGUGUAAUGGCUUUAAACGACCCGUCUUGAAACACGGACCAAGGAGUCUAACGUGCCUG
RNAcentral lists this ribosomal RNA (673 nucleotides) under Laetiporus gilbertsonii. RNAcentral's name for it is "LSU rRNA". It matches the Rfam family "Eukaryotic large subunit ribosomal RNA", at positions 40 to 686 of the family's 3401-position model. The record is from RNAcentral. Lineage: Eukaryota; Fungi; Basidiomycota; Agaricomycetes; Polyporales; Laetiporaceae.